GCUUCCAAUGAACCCCUAAUUCCUCCUCUCAAUAAGCUGAAUCCAUGGUGAUGAACCCAACGGCAAGUCCCCUGACUCAACCGGCAAUUCCCCCUUCGCUUUGUAUUUUUACUUCUCCCCUUCAACACAGUCCCGAAAAUAAAUUCUCAGAGCUAUUAAUAACAACCCAAACGGCUAAAUCAACCGGAAAGGCCCCACGGCUCUCUUCUUCAAUGACGUCGUUCCUGGAUUAGGACAGUCUGAGAUGGUUUCGGUUAAUUCAUUCUAAGAAGCGAGAAACACAGUGAAAGAUGCCUUUUUGAUUGGCCUGGAGCUCCUUCUUUAUGUUGAACAUGAUUUGUGUAAGGGAUUGAGUUUGGGAAUACUUUUCUUCCAGCGUAGCUUCUUGGCUCCUGUUGAGAUUAUGGAAGUGAUGAUCCUGAGUUCAAACAGGAGAUGGAGAAGCAGUUUCUGGGAAGUUUCAGAAGAACAUAGUCACUCAUCAUAUGGAUUUUACAUUGGCCGAAGCUAAAAGGGUUGCUUUACAGUACCAAAAGGAGGCUGAGAAGUGUAGAGAGCUCAAGCAUUGUUGCUCAAAGAGGGGAAGGUCACUUCUUUGUGGGAGCGGAGGGCUCGGCAAUUAGGUU
Long non-coding RNA from Raphanus sativus (radish), 626 nucleotides. RefSeq lists it as uncharacterized. The record is from RefSeq and is a predicted model, not a curated record. The transcript is spliced from 3 exons. NCBI's taxonomy places the organism in Eukaryota, Viridiplantae, Streptophyta, Magnoliopsida, Brassicales, Brassicaceae.